Molecule: long non-coding RNA, 244 nt
Organism: Physella acuta
Lineage: Eukaryota; Metazoa; Mollusca; Gastropoda; Physidae
Source: RefSeq, a predicted model, not a curated record
GAUGAGUUCAGUCACACAAUCAUGCAUGGCCACAAAAUUGCCAAAGCUUUACCACCUGCACCCAAGCCUUCUGCAGAUCCGAUCAAAAAACCCGCCCCAAGUCCUCGACCUGGGUCCGCAGGUAAAAAAUAUGACCCAGCCGCAGUCUAUGGCGCACCAUUGAACUCAUCAAGAAAUAGACUGUCUGGUGAAAAGAAAAGGCCAAGUACCCCAGGGAGAGCAGUUCCUAUACCUCGACAGAUGG